UGGGGAAUAUUGCACAAUGGAGGGAACUCUGAUGCAGCGACGCCGCGUGAACGAAGAAGGCUUUCGAGUCGUAAAGUUCUUUUAUAUGGGAAGAUAAUGACGGUACCAUAAGAAAAAGCCCCGGCUAACUACGUGCAAGCAGCCGCGGUAAUACGUAGGGGGCUAGCGUUGUCCGGAAUCACUGGGCGUAAAGGGUUCGCAGGCGGAAAUGCAAGUCAGGUGUAAAAGGCAGUAGCUUAACUACUGUAAGCAUUUGAAACUGCAUAUCUUGAGAAGAGUAGAGGUAAGUGGAAUUUUUAGUGUAGCGGUGAAAUGCGUAGAUAUUAAAAAGGAUACCGAUGGCGAAGGCGACUUACUGGGCUCAUUCUGGCGCUGAGGAACGAAAGCGUGGGUAGCAAACAGG
This 403-nucleotide ribosomal RNA is filed under the name bacterium. RNAcentral describes it as "partial 16S ribosomal RNA". It matches the Rfam family "Bacterial small subunit ribosomal RNA", at positions 355 to 776 of the family's 1533-position model. The record is from RNAcentral.